AGAGUUUGAUCCUGGCUCAGGACGAACGCUGGCGGCGUGCUUAACACAUGCAAGUCGAGCGGAAAGGCCCUUCGGGGUACUCGAGCGGCGAACGGGUGAGUAACACGUGAGUAACCUGCCCCCGACUCUGGGAUAAGCCCGGGAAACUGGGUCUAAUACCGGAUAUGACACCUCCUCGCAUGGGGUGGGUGUGGAAAGUUUUUCGGUUGGGGAUGGACUCGCGGCCUAUCAGCUUGUUAGUGGGGUAAUGGCCUACCAAGGCGACGACGGGUAGCCGGCCUGAGAGGGCGACCGGCCACACUGGGACUGAGACACGGCCCAGACUCCUACGGGAGGCAGCAGUGGGGAAUAUUGCGCAAUGGGCGAAAGCCUGACGCAGCGACGCCGCGUGGGGGAUGACGGCCUUCGGGUUGUAAACCUCUUUCAGCAGGGACGAAGUUGACGUGUACCUGCAGAAGAAGCGCCGGCUAACUACGUGCCAGCAGCCGCGGUAAUACGUAGGGCGCAAGCGUUGUCCGGAAUUAUUGGGCGUAAAGAGCUUGUAGGUGGCUUGUCACGUCGGGUGUGAAAGCUUGGGGCUUAACUCAGGUCUGCAUUCGAUACGGGCUGGCUAGAGGUAGGUAGGGGAGAACGGAAUUCCUGGUGUAGCGGUGAAAUGCGCAGAUAUCAGGAGGAACACCGGUGGCGAAGGCGGUUCUCUGGGCCUUACCUGACGCUGAGGGGCGAAAGCGUGGGGAGCGAACAGGAUUAGAUACCCUGGUAGUCCACGCUGUAAACGUUGGGCGCUAGGUGUGGGGACCUUCCACGGUUUCCGCGCCGUAGCUAACGCAUUAAGCGCCCCGCCUGGGGAGUACGGCCGCAAGGCUAAAGCUCAAAGGAAUUGACGGGGGCCCGCACAAGCGGCGGAGCAUGUUGCUUAAUUCGACGCAACGCGAAGAACCUUACCAAGGCUUGACAUUGCCCGGAAACACUCAGAGAUGGGUGCCUCUUCGGAUCGGGUGACAGGUGGUGCAUGGCUGUCGUCAGCUCGUGUCGUGAGAUGUUGGGUUAAGUCCCGCAACGAGCGCAACCCUUGUUCAAUGUUGCCAGCACGCUCCUUCGGGGGUGGUGGGGACUCAUUGGAGACUGCCGGGGUCAACUCGGAGGAAGGUGGGGAUGACGUCAAGUCAUCAUGCCCCUUAUGUCUUGGGCUGCAAACAUGCUACAAUGGCCGGUACAGAGGGCUGCGAUACCGCAAGGUGGAGCGAAUCCCUAAAAGCCGGUCUCAGUUCGGAUUGGGGUCUGCAACUCGACCCCAUGAAGUCGGAGUCGCUAGUAAUCGCAGAUCAGCAACGCUGCGGUGAAUACGUUCCCGGGCCUUGUACACACCGCCCGUCACGUCACGAAAGUCGGCAACACCCGAAGCCCGUGGCCCAACCAGCUUGCUGGGGGGAGCGGUCGAAGGUGGGGCUGGCGAUUGGGACGAAUUCGAAACAAGGUA
RNAcentral lists this ribosomal RNA (1480 nucleotides) under metagenome. RNAcentral's name for it is "bacterial SSU rRNA". It matches the Rfam family "Bacterial small subunit ribosomal RNA". The record is from RNAcentral.